This is a long non-coding RNA of Ruditapes philippinarum (Manila clam), 969 nucleotides long. RefSeq lists it as uncharacterized. NCBI's taxonomy places the organism in Eukaryota, Metazoa, Mollusca, Bivalvia, Venerida, Veneridae. The record is from RefSeq and is a predicted model, not a curated record. The transcript has 5 exons.
CGCAAUACUUUCUUGGCAGACGACCAGAGUGUCAAUUAUGAUUUGGCUUAAAUGUGUCUUGCGCUGUUAGAUUCUUGCAGGGAAAACUGAUUUUCUACAUUUUUUUUCAAAUGACGGUGGAUAUUUGCCGUGCAUGUUGAAGAUUGAAAUUUGUGGUUUGGCGGAGAAAUAUUAAAUAAAAAGAUUCCAGAUUCCUAUAAGCCAACGGCAAAGAUCCGCCAUUUUGCUAUGAUUCUGUGAUAAUAUUGAGUAAAACACACAAAAAGACGUCUUCCUGGGAGAUCUGAUCUUUAGUAUUCCAAAUCAUUAUCUAUACCAGACGAUAACGAAAAGAAGAUGCGGUUUUACUUGGUGGCAAUAUUGUCCAUGGGACUGGUUCUGCUUCUUACUUUAGGUAAAGUAUCAACUGCAGAUGCUGAGCCAAGUACCAGUCCAGAACCGGAAGUGGAAGAAAAAGGGGACGCCAAAGAAGAUGCCGGAAGUGAAAAUAAGCCGGAACCAAGUGAAGAACCAAAAGCAACUACUAAAUCACCGGAAAAUGGAGGUGGUUUGAUUGUUAUGUCAACAUUGUCGCUUUUUUCAACACUAGUAGUAGCCAGAUUACUGGUGUGAUUAUUUAUACUAAGAGGACUGCAAGUGUACAUGUCACAUGCUAUCGUCUGCGUUGCAAUGGAUUCUUAUCAUGUUGAAAAAUCACGAAAAGUCGUGCUCAUAUUUAAACUGUCUCGAAUGACGCUUUAAGCAGAUAGCGAGACGUGGCUUUUUUGAUUUUAUAAUGUGAUCACGGAAAGAUUGUACAAAUUGUACAAGACAAACAUUUUGCAGGAGAACUGAUUUGUUUCUAUUACGCAGAUGAUGCAGAUGAAGAUUUUUUUGUUGUUUUACGUUCUGAAUAAUUUUGUUGUUGAAUUAAUAUUGUCUCAUUUAUUCGUAUAGAUAUUUCUCAGUGUAAAAAAGUAAAAAAAGAAA